AGAUUGGGCAAAGGCAGACAGCAAGCAGCAGCAGGUGUCUUUUGCAGGAGUGGUUUUUUUAAAGAAGAAAAAGGGGAGUCUGUGCUAGGAUCAAGAUGUAGAACUCUCAGCUCCUUGUCCAUCACCAUGCCUGCCUCUACGAUGCCAUGCUUCUGACUGUGAUGAUAAGGGACUGAACCCCUGAAACUCUAUUACAGACCCUGGUCAGGAAGAGUGGCCAUGCUUUUCCAAGGCCAAAAUUAUCAGCUCAACUGGUGUUGUUUCCAGGAACUGCUCCUUCCCCUCACCCUGUCCACACAGAGAGAAAGUGAAAUAGACAAAGGACAAGAGGCCAAGCAGAGAACAUCCCUGGGCUAAUCAGCCAUAGCCAAAAGGUACAAAAGGUACAAAAGGUACAGCAGCCAAAGGGCCCUUCCAUGGGGUUCCUUUCAGAGAUGAGAGCCUAUGGGUUGGACUUGUCUGUA
This 464-nucleotide long non-coding RNA is filed under the name Mus caroli (Ryukyu mouse). RNAcentral describes it as "lncRNA (MGP_CAROLIEiJ_G0006396.1)". The record is from RNAcentral. Lineage: Eukaryota; Metazoa; Chordata; Mammalia; Rodentia; Muridae.